AGGUCCCAAGGGUUUGGCUGUUCGCCAAUUAAAGCGGUACGCGAGCUGGGUUCAGAACGUCGUGAGACAGUUCGGUCCCUAUCUGCUACGGGCGGAGGAUACUUGAGCAGAGCUAACCUUAGUACGAGAGGACCGGGUUGGACGUACCUCUGGUGUUCCGGUUGUCAUGCCAAUGGCACCGCCGGGUAGCCAUGUACGGAAAGGAUAACCGCUGAAAGCAUCUAAGCGGGAAGCCUCCUGCGAGAUUAGGUAUCCCUGGGCGCAAGCCCCUGAAGACCCCUCGAAGACCACGAGGUUGAUAGGCUGGAUGUGGAAGCACGGUAACGUGUGAAGCUUACCAGUACUAAUCGGUCGUGAGGCUUAACCUU
RNAcentral lists this ribosomal RNA (368 nucleotides) under Deltaproteobacteria bacterium. Its description in RNAcentral is "partial 23S ribosomal RNA". It matches the Rfam family "Bacterial large subunit ribosomal RNA", at positions 2560 to 2925 of the family's 2925-position model. The record is from RNAcentral. Lineage: Bacteria; Pseudomonadati; Myxococcota; Myxococcia.